RNAcentral lists this ribosomal RNA (252 nucleotides) under Eratigena agrestis. RNAcentral describes it as "partial 12S ribosomal RNA". The record is from RNAcentral. Lineage: Eukaryota; Metazoa; Arthropoda; Arachnida; Araneae; Agelenidae.
AUCGAUANUCCGCGUUAANUUUUACUUUAAUUAAAAUUUAUAUACCGCCAUCUUAAGAAUUAAUCAAAAAAUAUUAUUCAAAAAAAAAAAUAAAAAGUUAGGUCAAGGGGUAAUCUAUAUUGAAGAAAAGAUGAAUUACCCUAAAAACAAUUUAAAGAUUAAAAAUUAAAACCUUUAUAAAUAAGAAUUUGAAAGCAAUAUUAAAAAUAUUAUUAUAAUAUGAUUAAGAAAAGAAAUGUGCACCCAUCGCCC